GGAGACCUUCCAGCUGCCUGGGGAUGCUGAGUCUGUUCCUGGUUUCCUUUAGGUGAAGAUGUAGAACUCAGCUCCUCCUGCACAGCCUGGGUGCUGUGAUUCUGUCAUGCUCCUGCCUUGAUGAUAAUGGACUGAACCUCUGAACCUUUAGUUUGUAUAAAGGAGUGAAGUGGAGUGCAACCACAAAGGAAGAACAAUAUCAACUAACUGGACCACCAAGAGUUCCCAGGGACUAAACCACCAACCAGAGAGUACACAUUGAUGGACCCAUGACUCUAGAUUUCAUGUAGCAAAGGCUGGUCUCAGUGGGAAUCCAUGUAACCAAGACUGACCUCAAUCUAGGCACAAAGCAGAAGAUAUUCUUCAGCCCGUGAAUCUCCUGUCUCUACUUCUAGAGUGGAACAACAAACCCAUCAAUGAAGUGUUGCAGUUAUCUAAGAAAACUUUUUCAAUCAUUACAGAACAUCUUUUGAACUUCUUCUUUCAAAGAAUCUGAGAGAUAUUAAGUUGCUAAAUAGAAAUAAAUAAUUAAGUUGCUAAAUAGAAAUAGAAAAUUAAAAUAUCUUUAUAAUAAAAUAUGACUUUGGAAAUAAAUAAUCAACAGCAUUCUAAA
Long non-coding RNA from Rattus norvegicus (Norway rat), 613 nucleotides. RefSeq lists it as uncharacterized. NCBI's taxonomy places the organism in Eukaryota, Metazoa, Chordata, Mammalia, Rodentia, Muridae. The record is from RefSeq and is a predicted model, not a curated record.